CUGUCAAUUUCAUUUGCUUCUUCUUCUUCUACCGUGCACGAGCUGUCUGUCUCUGCUUUUCUCCAGAAGGAUCUCUCGCACGACUGUUCGUGAUGUGGAAGAUGGAAUAGAUGUUACUGAUGGCUACUGGGAUCGCGUUACCUGAGAGAGUUUGAGUGGCAGCAAGGGAAGGCUACCGUGUCAGCACCGAACGCAGAACGAUGAGAAUGAAAAAAAAAAAAAAAAAGGGAGGAAGAGAGAGAGAGAGAGAGCCUGACUGUCGGUGAUGGGUACAACAGAAGCAGAGAGAAAAGCAGAGGGAAAGAAGAAACGAAAGAAACGAGUUAUCCGGCGGUCUCAAGAAUGACAACGCACGAACUCUCAUCUUCCCUUGGAUUCAACGACGACGACGACAAAGAUGACGAACAGGAUAUCGGAUGAUUUCCUGUCUCUCCGACCACCAAAAUAUCGUUCCUUUAGAAAUAUUUCAAUGGCCAAGAUUAUAGAUUUAACGUCGAUGUUUCGUACGUACGAACAAUGGUUUAGACCAUCCUAGAAAAAAUUAUAUUCUGCGUGCUGAUGGAUUAUGUAAAAAAAAAAAAAACAAUCCAAGUUUGAUAAUCGUACUCCGCAUUUAUGAUUGAUCGAUUACCCUCGAUUAUUGCGAUUCGAGAUCUCAAAUAAUCAUAAUAUUUUUACAGCCGGAGUGAACGAC
RNAcentral lists this long non-coding RNA (694 nucleotides) under Polistes fuscatus (common paper wasp). RNAcentral's name for it is "uncharacterized LOC122516588". Lineage: Eukaryota; Metazoa; Arthropoda; Insecta; Hymenoptera; Vespidae. The record is from RNAcentral.